GAUGAACACUGGCGGCGUGCCUAAUACAUGCAAGUCGAGCGAACAGACGAGGAGCUUGCUCCUCUGACGUUAGCGGCGGACGGGUGAGUAACACGUGGAUAACCUACCUAUAAGACUGGGAUAACUUCGGGAAACCGGAGCUAAUACCGGAUAAUAUAUUGAACCGCAUGGUUCAAUAGUGAAAGACGGUUUUGCUGUCACUUAUAGAUGGAUCCGCGCCGCAUUAGCUAGUUGGUAAGGUAACGGCUUACCAAGGCAACGAUGCGUAGCCGACCUGAGAGGGUGAUCGGCCACACUGGAACUGAGACACGGUCCAGACUCCUACGGGAGGCAGCAGUAGGGAAUCUUCCGCAAUGGGCGAAAGCCUGACGGAGCAACGCCGCGUGAGUGAUGAAGGUCUUCGGAUCGUAAAACUCUGUUAUUAGGGAAGAACAAAUGUGUAAGUAACUAUGCACGUCCUGACGGUACCUAAUCAGAAAGCCACGGCUAACUACGUG
RNAcentral lists this ribosomal RNA (497 nucleotides) under uncultured bacterium. RNAcentral's name for it is "partial 16S ribosomal RNA". It matches the Rfam family "Bacterial small subunit ribosomal RNA", at positions 28 to 507 of the family's 1533-position model. The record is from RNAcentral.